This 381-nucleotide unclassified non-coding RNA is filed under the name Hevea brasiliensis (rubber tree). The record is from RNAcentral. Lineage: Eukaryota; Viridiplantae; Streptophyta; Magnoliopsida; Malpighiales; Euphorbiaceae.
CGGGUGCACUGCGCAAACCCAGAAGUCUUUCCUUAAUUCCUGUUCGAGAAUGGAGUUGGACCCUGACGACAUCUUCAAAGAUGACGAAAACGAUUCCGAUUCUGAGUUCUAUCAGCAAAGAGAAUCCUCCAAAGAAUUCGUCGUCUACCUCGUCGAUGCUUCUCCCAAAAUGUUUAGCACCACUUGCCCUGGCGAAGAUCAAAAGAAUGAAACUCAUUUCCGCAUUGCUGUCAGUUGUAUAGCACAAUCUCUGAAGACUCAAAUCAUUAAUAGAUCAUAUGAUGAAGUUGCGAUCUGCUUCUUCAACACUGUAAGAUGCUGGUCUGAUGGUUGAAUAUGGUGAAAAUCUUGUUUUCUUGAAUAAUUCCAUUUUGGCAGGGC